Molecule: ribosomal RNA, 497 nt
Filed under: uncultured bacterium
Lineage: Bacteria
Description: partial 16S ribosomal RNA
Rfam family: Bacterial small subunit ribosomal RNA
Source: RNAcentral
GAUGAACGCUGGCGGCGUGCCUAAUACAUGCAAGUCGAGCGAACAGACGAGGAGCUUGCUCCUCUGACGUUAGCGGCGGACGGGUGAGUAACACGUGGAUAACCUACCUAUAAGACUGGGAUAACUUCGGGAAACCGGAGCUAAUACCGGAUAAUAUAUUGAACCGCAUGGUUCAAUAGUGAAAGACGGUUUUGCUGUCACUUAUAGAUGGAUCCGCGCCGCAUUAGCUAGUUGGUAAGGUAACGGCUUACCAAGGCGACGAUGCGUAGCCGACCUGAGAGGGUGAUCGGCCACACUGGAACUGAGAAACGGUCCAGACUCCUACGGGAGGCAGCAGUAGGGAAUUUUCCCGAAUUGGCGGAAGCCUGACGGAGCAAAGCCGGGGUGGGUAUGAAGGUCUUUCGAUUGUAAAACCCUGUUAUUAGGGAAGAACAAAUGUGUAAGUAACUAUGCACGUCUUGACGGUACCUAAUCAGAAAGCCACGGCUAACUACGUG